AAUCAACGCUGGCGGCGUGCCUAACACAUGCAAGUCGAACGAGAAGGUGACUUCGGUCACUGGAUAGUGGCGUCCGGGUGAGUAACACGUAGGUAAUCUACCUUCGGGUGGGGAAUAACGUCUCGAAAGAGACGCUAAUACCGCAUAAUGCAGCGGCACCUAAUGGUGAUUAGUUGUUAAAGCGGGGGAUCUUCGGACCUCGCGCCCUGAAGAGGAGCCUGCGGCAGAUUAGCUAGUUGGUGAGGUAAUGGCUCACCAAGGCUUCGACCUGUAGCUGGUCUGAGAGGACGGCCAGCCACACUGGCACUGACACACGGGCCAGACUCCUACGGAGGCAGCAGUGGGGAAUUUUGGGCAAUGGGCGAAAGCCUGACCCAGCAACGCCGCGUGAAGGAGGAAAUCCUUCGGGAUGUAAACUUCAUAAGUAAGGGAAG
RNAcentral lists this ribosomal RNA (434 nucleotides) under uncultured bacterium. RNAcentral describes it as "bacterial SSU rRNA". It matches the Rfam family "Bacterial small subunit ribosomal RNA", at positions 32 to 447 of the family's 1533-position model. The record is from RNAcentral.